GGAUGUGUGUGUGGUCCGGCUUGACAUGUGCCCCCACUGAUUGCCAGGGUCACUUCAGCGAUCUGGUUGGCUAGCAGGGUGUCCCCUUCCUCCCUCACCGCUGCAUGUGUGCCCCUGCCCAGGCUGCAAGCUCAGUAGAAGAGAACAACUCUCCUCGCAUAGAGGAGGACUGGCCUUCAGUCAAGGGCAUGUACGUCGCUGCACUCCCCUGCUAGAGCCUCCGCCCAAGCUCUCUGGAUGGCAACACAGAAGAAAAGGCAACAUGGGCGGAGACGUAGUUUGAAGUGAUGCACCCACAAGCCAAGAAGCAUCUAGCGCUGCU
RNAcentral lists this small nuclear RNA (322 nucleotides) under Jaculus jaculus (lesser Egyptian jerboa). RNAcentral describes it as "7SK RNA (ENSJJAG00000000749.1)". It matches the Rfam family "7SK RNA". From Rfam's summary of the family: 7SK was discovered as an abundant small nuclear RNA in the mid-70s but a possible function has only recently been suggested. Two independent studies have found that 7SK RNA binds the CDK9/cyclin T complex (known as elongation factor P-TEFb). Lineage: Eukaryota; Metazoa; Chordata; Mammalia; Rodentia; Dipodidae. The record is from Rfam by way of RNAcentral.